Molecule: ribosomal RNA, 3027 nt
Filed under: Triticum aestivum (bread wheat)
Lineage: Eukaryota; Viridiplantae; Streptophyta; Magnoliopsida; Poales; Poaceae
Description: partial small subunit ribosomal RNA
Source: RNAcentral
CAGAGGAGGAGCGGAGGACGACGAGCAGGCACCGAAGCGUAGCCGACCGAACUUCGUGCGUGAUGAGGGCUGCUACCUGCUCUACGACCGAAGCAGGGAAGACGUAUGCCUCGGCGGUACCUACUACUUGGUGCGGCUGCCGGACGACUGGUCAAAGCAGUGGGACCGCGACACGCCGUGCCCGGAGCGGCCUACCGAAGACAAGCCUGCUUGGACCUCUGAACCCGUGCAACGCGGACGAGGACCGUGGUCAACACUACUUCGUCCCGUUCCAUAUGUUCUCGUUCUGGCGGAGUAGCUUGUCUUAAGGCCACGGCCCGACCUCAGUUGCCUCCUAGGUAUACGAAGAGGUUGUGAGUUGCACUAGGUGGGGACCGACGACCUCCAGUUAGACAAUGCGCUGGAGGCAGUGCUUUUGUAGUAGUGUGAGCAUGGACGAAGGUGAGGGCCGUCGCUCAAGCAGAUGCUCGUGCGCCUCUUGCCAUGGGAACUAUUCACCGACGUGGCGGGGGCGGGUGGCGACUUGACCGGCUACUCCUCCCGGUAGCGGUAGCCGCAGCGUCCUCCCGACAGGAUGGACGUGUUCGUUACGUAGCAGGUGGUGUUGUAGUUGAGAUCGUUGCAUAACGAACUGGCACGGAAGUUCGGGUUCUAGCGCCCGAAGCCAGUACGGGUUUUCUAGUUGUAACGGCCUAGCCUGCUGCCUCUGCUUGUUGGCGGCGGCUGCAAAGUUGGAGAAUGGCCGUUGAAACCUAUGCGCCGAGGUCUGAUACACUGUUACUAUCCACUCAACUGGCUCUACCAACUGCACAUGUCGAACCCGCACCACGAUGACCUCGAUCAUUGGCCCGCCCGUCGGCAACUUAAACGGUAGUGACUGCUACCUCCGGCUCCUGGGACCUAAAAAAAUUAGAAAAUGGAGAGGGAGAGAGAGGGGGAGGAGGAGGGCCCAGCGAGCGCGCCCGCCGAGGCCUCCGGUUUUGGGAUCGGGGCGCUCGGGAAAGGGUGCUCGAAGGGACCGGCGGCGGCGGCGGCUGCGGCCGUCACCACCGCCGCGGGCCGGCGGAUUCCGCCGCCCGCCCCAGCCGCGCGGGGCUGCCCGAGGGAAGCGCGCCUCCACUCCGCAGUUCGCCCGCCGCGUCCCCAAGGAAGGCCACACCACCGCAUACCGCCCCCAUCAACGUCGCCUCACCGCCUCGAGCCGUUCUUCAACGUCAACUCCGAGUACCACGAGCCCGAACCCUAGGACCUCCGCGGCCGCACCUGGACUACCGCCGCCGCGCCGACCUCGUUCUACCAGCGCCGCGACGCCGAGUCGGUCCUCCCCGACCCGCUCGUCGCCGGGCCACGUUGACGCAGGAGCCCCUACGACACCACAGGAGACGCGCGGCCGCGCCUACUCCCUCCACCACUGCGCGCGCUAGACCUAGACUCCGCGCGAUACCGACGAGGCCCAUACACUCGAAAGACGAACCACCGACCGCCGACCUACACCACACCGAGCGCCGACGUAGGCGCGUUAGACCUCAACCACCGACCGCCGAUACGCGCCACGGCCACUGGAACGGCACGACGGUACUUACCUCCAGGUUUCGACACUGAAAAAGAACCGGCUUGCCUUCAACCUUCAACCCGACGCACGGGAAUCGGCACAUCCCACCACAUGACGUAGCAAUACCGGUGUUACCGAUCCACGACGCCGCCGCCGCCUCACCGGGAAGUACCUGUCACACGGAGUUAGGCUACUCCUCACAACCUCUCCACGCUGCUGUGCCUACCUUUAGAACGGGCCGAAACUAGCCACGACCGCCGCUACCGCGGACGCCCACAGCGAUGGGAGGAACCUCCGCAGUGAUUCCACACAGCCGUAGAGGGGGAAGAUCAAACCCAACAACAGAGGCUCGCUUUCGGAACCAAGCAAGGGCCUGGCCGCUACCGCCGCAGAACUGCAGCAAGGAGGCAACUCUCGUAGCGCACACCUCUGAACCGUACCUCCGAGAUACAACACCAAGAAGCCACGAGCAGCGACCAGGUUCAUCUAGAAGAAGCCGCGAUACGUGCAGCCGCGGCCACUCAAGUUCUGCUACCGAUAGAGCCCUGGCUGACUCAGGGCGGUGGGUGAGUGGUAGGGGAAAAGCCGUAAGUUCCCACCGACCACGCAGCUGUUCCCCUCAGGCCACCGUCAACAAGGAAACUCCACUGGACACAACCAGCUCUGCGCCGAAACAACAAGAUAAAUCCCGUUCAAGGAAACGGAACACAAACAUUACACACACCACCGAAAAGAAGCCUAAUCGAACCCACACCUCAACAUGAUGUGUACAACAAGCGUCGUUCACCAUUAGAGAACAUUAAUAGAAGACAGAAGAUAAUUUUAUACUAUGCGGAAACUGCAUGAGAGCUUUUUUUUUUACUACCUCCGCCUCAGCGAAGACCAGCGGCAGGUACCGGUGCUCAAACCGUGAACGGUCGGACCCGCGUACUACACUACUUGUCUCCUCCAAAGUCGUCGUUACACCAACUGUACCGGUAGGGUUUAUUCCGUACCAUAUACUCUCUCUACCUCCGCCACAAGUUCGAGCGGCACCUAACGUGGUAAUCCGUCCGCGUGGACUCCGGCAGGUACGUCUCCCAAGAGUUUGUUGAGGCUAUGGUACCGUCGUGCAACAGCACCUAUUUUUCGGCAGAGUCCACGACGGAUGACACUCACAGUGUUUUUUCCUUCUUUUUCCACAAGAGGAGGGGCAACACAUAGUGUACGAACCUAGACACAAAAGUUACAUACUUCACUAGUACACUCGGAAAAGACUUUGGCCGGUUUUAUCCCCACACUAUACACAUCAAAACUACAUUAGCCGUUUUUUUUUUUCACUAGCCACAUACUUCACUAGUACCCAAAAGUCAACAUGACGUCAAAACAACAUUUGCAUCUUUCUUUUAUUCUUCAUGAACAACAAAACGACACCAUAUGAAUCAACAUGACUUCAAGACUGUUAAUUAUACCUAGCUUCUCUCAUGAUAAAGAAA